AACCCGUAAAUCCGAACUUG
This 20-nucleotide microRNA is filed under the name Drosophila erecta. RNAcentral's name for it is "miR-100-RA". RNAcentral also lists the same sequence under 2 other names. Lineage: Eukaryota; Metazoa; Arthropoda; Insecta; Diptera; Drosophilidae. The record is from RNAcentral.